RNAcentral lists this transfer RNA (78 nucleotides) under Cordylochernes scorpioides. Its description in RNAcentral is "tRNA-Thr". The stretch from base 10 to 69 matches the Rfam family "tRNA", at positions 7 to 64 of the family's 71-position model. Rfam says of the family: Transfer RNA (tRNA) molecules are approximately 80 nucleotides in length. Their secondary structure includes four short double-helical elements and three loops (D, anti-codon, and T loops). Further hydrogen bonds mediate the characteristic L-shaped molecular structure. tRNAs have two regions of fundamental functional importance: the anti-codon, which is responsible for specific mRNA codon recognition, and the 3' end, to which the tRNAs corresponding amino acid is attached (by aminoacyl-tRNA synthetases). tRNAs cope with the degeneracy of the genetic code in two manners: having more than one tRNA (with a specific anti-codon) for a particular amino acid; and 'wobble' base-pairing, i.e. permitting non-standard base-pairing at the 3rd anti-codon position. The record is from RNAcentral. Lineage: Eukaryota; Metazoa; Arthropoda; Arachnida; Pseudoscorpiones; Chernetidae.
UGUGCUCAUGUGGCCUAGUGGUCAUGGCAUCUGCCCGGUAAGCGGAAGGUCGUGGGUUCGAUUCCCAUCCCUUUACAC